UACGUAGGGACCUAGCGUUGUCCGGAAUUAUUGGGCGUAAAGCGCGUGUAGGCGGCUCGCCAAGUCCGAUGUGAAAGCUCGGGGCUUAACCCCGAGUCUGCAUUGGAAACUGGCUUGCUUGAGUCCGGAAGAGGAGACUGGAAUUCCUGGUGUAGCGGUGAAAUGCGCAGAUAUCAGGAAGAACACCGGUGGCGAAGGCGGGUCUCUGGGACGGUACUGACGCUGAGGUGCGAAAGCGUGGGGAGCAAACAGG
This 253-nucleotide ribosomal RNA is filed under the name uncultured bacterium. RNAcentral's name for it is "partial 16S ribosomal RNA". It matches the Rfam family "Bacterial small subunit ribosomal RNA", at positions 524 to 776 of the family's 1533-position model. The record is from RNAcentral.